This is a long non-coding RNA of Eucalyptus grandis, 2264 nucleotides long. RefSeq lists it as uncharacterized. The transcript is spliced from 5 exons. The record is from RefSeq and is a predicted model, not a curated record. NCBI's taxonomy places the organism in Eukaryota, Viridiplantae, Streptophyta, Magnoliopsida, Myrtales, Myrtaceae.
ACAGCCUCGUCGAUGAUGGCACGGCUCUCCCACGGAGGCGAUCUCACACCCUGCACCACUUCAACAAGAUUGAGACAAUCGGAUUCUACCUCCAAAUUUGCGUCAUGGAGUUGUUGUCAAAGUAGAUGGCGAAGGGAAAAUGCGAUCGACCCCUCGUUGCCACCCGCCUUAAAGCUUCCAUCAAUAUUGCAUUUGAGGGUACCCAGCUCCGGAGGACGACGGAGUUGAGCUGGAUCGAAGAGAGGGAAGACCAAAGCUCUGUCGAGAUGUAGCAGAUGAGAUCUGGUAUGUACUGGUAAGAGCAAUAGUUGUCUGUACAGCGAGGGAGGAAUCCGGGAGCUGAUUGCGAAAAAUAAAGUUAUUCCGCAUCCGCCAGAUCUGCCAAAGGAUGUUAGCAACAAGCGCGAAUCCAGGAUAAGAUGCUGAAGUAUUAAUGAGGAUAGGACUAUGGUCAGAUCCGACUGCUGGAAAUGCAUAAAUUUCUGCCCCGGGAAACAAGAAUUGCCAUUCCAUAGUGUAUACCACCCGGUCCAAUUUUUCCUUAACCAAUUCUUCCCCCUCUCUAUUGUUCAUCCAUGUGUACUUACAACCAUUGCUUUCUAACUCAGUAAAAGCACAAUCAUUAAGGACAGCUCUGAAUGACAUCAUUCUAGAUUGGUUAGCAGGUCUUUUCCGCAUCUUUUCCCAAGGAUAGCGAAGUUCAUCAAAAUCUCCCGCACAUAUCAAAGGUAAAGUAUUAGUAGAAUGUAUCUGUCUAAGCUCUUUCCAUACAAGUAAACAUUGUUGAUAGUUAGUCAGAGCAUGAAUAAAAGUAAGUUGUAUAGAUCUCCCUCCUUGUUGAAAGCUACCGCUCAAGUCCAAAACAGUGCUAAUCCACCAACAAGACCCACCGGGUUGAGAAUAUGAGAAUGUUCGAACUUUAAACAUCUUUGAAUUUGAAGAAGCUUGGCCUCAGGGUUCUUAGUUUCCUUUAAAAAAAUUACCGUGGGUUUUUCUUUGGCCUUCAUGGCCUUGAGAGCCUAAACUGUCAGGGGGUUGCCCAACCCCUAACAGUUCCAGCAUAGUAUCUUCAUUUGUCUACUGGUGGCUGUUUGGGCCAGUCACCAAAGCCCGAACUCCCGCUUCAUCUGCUGUAAAGAUAGGAGUAUCCAUAAGAGUUGAGUCAUCCUGAUCUUCUAUGAUCACACCUCUAGUAGCAUACGGGUUGAACCUUCUCUAUUUUUUGACAGAACCCAAUUUUGGCGUCGAUCUGGUAUUCUUAAGCUUUUUUGUGGUUUGUAUAUCCAUAGGCUCAAUCUGAAUGGCUUUCAAUUUUGAUUUGACUGGUAUAAGUGCUGUAUGGAGAGAGGGUUGGUGCACAACAGGACGUUGAUGGAGCUGUUGAUCAGGUUCUUCCUCUGGUACUGUGGAUCUGUUGACUGAACUGGGUCUAUUAGCUGCCAUUAUAGAAGGUGGUAGUGGCAAUAAGGGAAUUGCGGGAAUCUGUGGAGGCGGCGCUUCAGUAUAUGGAAUUUCCUUACAAUACAUCGCGUAGUGCCCAAGUUUUCCACAAGAGUAGCAAAAGUGCGAUGGACGUUCGUAACGGAAAUCAAGCCAAAUAGGUGAAGGUUUGUCAUCCCAGUCUUAAAUAAUUUGUUCAGUGGUUAGGCAACCCAAUCUAAAGCAGAGAGCUACCAGCCGCGAGGAAUCGACAUGGGCUGCCGAAGCCAUCCAAAGUGAAGAAAAAGGAAAGGACAAUACUUGCUAAAACACCGGAAAGCCACAAGACGACUAGGCAAACUGUUGAAGUACACAAUGCAACAAGUGAUGAAGCAAAGGAAACCAAGACAACGAAGUACGCUGACCUUCGACCUCGAGUAACUACAAUUCCACAUUCUUGAAGCAGAUAGAGUUCAAUCGAGGGCAUGUAGAACUAACUAGGGAGAAUCGCUGGAAGGAAGAAGGGCCCAGUGCAACAUCAGUGGCUGAUGAAGCUAAAGGCGACGAGAAAAACUACCAAACUUCAAGCGGAUGGAGAAGUGACGGUGGAAAAAGGGCAUAAAACCAAGAUGUUAGGGUUAGAAAAGGCUACCAGAAGGUAGAAAAGACUCUACAUGGCGAGAGAGGUUUUUUCAUGAAAAGGUUGUAGUCUGAAUAGGUACUAACUCUAAACAUUUGAAAUAUGCAAUAGGUGACAUAUAAUGUCGUGGAAUGUUUAAACCGAACUUUAUUGAUGCUACAAUGAAGUUUGAAAGGAGGGGGGGACAAGGACAGCGGUUGCUCUA